AAUGAUAUGCCUGAAUAAAGGAUUAUUAUGAUAUAAUAAAUUAUGUAAAUAUUUAUUUACUAUCAUUA
Molecule: transfer RNA, 68 nt
Filed under: unidentified
Description: Trichagalma acutissimae tRNA-Ile
Source: RNAcentral